Molecule: ribosomal RNA, 2198 nt
Filed under: Yersinia pestis
Lineage: Bacteria; Pseudomonadati; Pseudomonadota; Gammaproteobacteria; Enterobacterales; Yersiniaceae
Description: bacterial LSU rRNA
Rfam family: Bacterial large subunit ribosomal RNA
Source: RNAcentral
GGGUUGUGAGGUUAAGCGACUAAGCGUACACGGUGGAUGCCUAGGCAGUCAGAGGCGAUGAAGGGCGUGCUAAUCUGCGAAAAGCGUCGGUAAGCUGAUAUGAAGCGUUAUAACCGACGAUACCCGAAUGGGGAAACCCAGUGCAAUACGUUGCACUAUCGUUAGAUGAAUACAUAGUCUAACGAGGCGAACCGGGGGAACUGAAACAUCUAAGUACCCCGAGGAAAAGAAAUCAACCGAGAUUCCCCCAGUAGCGGCGAGCGAACGGGGAGGAGCCCAGAGUCUGAAUCAGUUUGUGUGUUAGUGGAAGCGUCUGGAAAGUCGCACGGUACAGGGUGAUAGUCCCGUACACCAAAAUGCACAGGCUGUGAACUCGAUGAGUAGGGCGGGACACGUGACAUCCUGUCUGAAUAUGGGGGGACCAUCCUCCAAGGCUAAAUACUCCUGACUGACCGAUAGUGAACCAGUACCGUGAGGGAAAGGCGAAAAGAACCCCGGCGAGGGGAGUGAAAUAGAACCUGAAACCGUGUACGUACAAGCAGUGGGAGCACCUUCGUGGUGUGACUGCGUACCUUUUGUAUAAUGGGUCAGCGACUUAUAUUUUGUAGCAAGGUUAACCGAAUAGGGGAGCCGUAGGGAAACCGAGUCUUAACUGGGCGUCUAGUUGCAAGGUAUAGACCCGAAACCCGGUGAUCUAGCCAUGGGCAGGUUGAAGGUUGGGUAACACUAACUGGAGGACCGAACCGACUAAUGUUGAAAAAUUAGCGGAUGACUUGUGGCUGGGGGUGAAAGGCCAAUCAAACCGGGAGAUAGCUGGUUCUCCCCGAAAGCUAUUUAGGUAGCGCCUCGUGAACUCAUCUUCGGGGGUAGAGCACUGUUUCGGCUAGGGGGCCAUCCCGGCUUACCAAACCGAUGCAAACUCCGAAUACCGAAGAAUGUUAUCACGGGAGACACACGGCGGGUGCUAACGUCCGUCGUGAAGAGGGAAACAACCCAGACCGCCAGCUAAGGUCCCAAAGUCAUGGUUAAGUGGGAAACGAUGUGGGAAGGCACAGACAGCCAGGAUGUUGGCUUAGAAGCAGCCAUCAUUUAAAGAAAGCGUAAUAGCUCACUGGUCGAGUCGGCCUGCGCGGAAGAUGUAACGGGGCUAAACCAUGCACCGAAGCUGCGGCAGCGACACUUAGGUGUUGUUGGGUAGGGGAGCGUUCUGUAAGCCGUUGAAGGUGACCUGUGAGGGUUGCUGGAGGUAUCAGAAGUGCGAAUGCUGACAUAAGUAACGAUAAUGCGGGUGAAAAACCCGCACGCCGGAAGACCAAGGGUUCCUGUCCAACGUUAAUCGGGGCAGGGUGAGUCGACCCCUAAGGCGAGGCUGAAAAGCGUAGUCGAUGGGAAACAGGUUAAUAUUCCUGUACUUGGUGUUACUGCGAAGGGGGGACGGAGAAGGCUAGGCUGGCCGGGCGACGGUUGUCCCGGUUUAAGCGUGUAGGGGGAGUGACCAGGUAAAUCCGGUUGCUUAUCAACCCUGAGGCGUGAUGACGAUGCACCACGGUGCAGAAGCAGUUGAUGCCAUGCUUCCAGGAAAAGCCUCUAAGCAUCAGGUAACAUUAAAUCGUACCCCAAACCGACACAGGUGGUCAGGUAGAGAAUACUCAGGCGCUUGAGAGAACUCGGGUGAAGGAACUAGGCAAAAUGGUGCCGUAACUUCGGGAGAAGGCACGCUGGCGUUAGGUGAAAGGACUAGCUCCUGGAGCUGAAGCCAGUCGCAGAUACCAGCUGGCUGCAACUGUUUAAUAAAAACACAGCACUGUGCAAACACGAAAGUGGACGUAUACGGUGUGACGCCUGCCCGGUGCUGGAAGGUUAAUUGAUGGGGUCAGCCGCAAGGCGAAGCUCUUGAUCGAAGCCCCAGUAAACGGCGGCCGUAACUAUAACGGUCCUAAGGUAGCGAAAUUCCUUGUCGGGUAAGUUCCGACCUGCACGAAUGGCGUAAUGAUGGCCAGGCUGUCUCCACCCGAGACUCAGUGAAAUUGAACUCGCUGUGAAGAUGCAGUGUACCCGCGGCAAGACGGAAAGACCCCGUGAACCUUUACUAUAGCUUGACACUGAACAUUGAGCCUUGAUGUGUAGGAUAGGUGGGAGGCCUUGAAGUGUGGACGCCAGUCUGCAUGGAGCCAACCUUGAAAUACCACCCUUUAAUG